This 1072-nucleotide long non-coding RNA is filed under the name Homo sapiens (human). Its description in RNAcentral is "non-protein coding lnc-C1QL4-1:5". The record is from RNAcentral. Lineage: Eukaryota; Metazoa; Chordata; Mammalia; Primates; Hominidae.
UGCGAUGUCCCAGAUGUGGAACUCAGCACUGUUCCUUGGUCCCUGUGGUCCUAUUUCCCCAUCACUUAGGUAAGACCUGAGGCUCAGAGGGACCAAGUUGCAUGUCUGAGCUUGUACAGUGAGCUAGUGGUGGUUUCCUCUGGAAGGGCGCGUCCUGGUUGAUCAGGCCCUGAGUGGCCCUGCUGGUGUUCUUCACUCUAUGCCUGCAGGACCCAAGAUGACAUUUAUCCAAGGGAGUGUAAAAUAGAGUCAGAGAAGCACUGGUAUGAGGAGUUUGGAGCCCUCAUUCCAUUCAUUCCCUGAGUUCUAGGAGCCUCCUCUGUUCCUCCAGAAGCCAAAAGACAGGGCAGGAAGACAAAAUCUUUCCGCAACUCCUCACCAUUCUCUGUUGUGCCCACAAUCUCCGGUUCCACCCUCACUGUAAAAUCACGUCUCCAUCCGCCUGCUUGAUCUUUCAGCCAGCCGCUCCUCAGCUGGAGAAUGGGAAAUAAUGGGCUGUGCCAGCAAGCCACACUCCAAGGGCAGAGUGCUCAGUGAACCUGUUCAAAGUGUGGCCUGGGCAGCUGCCUGAGGGUCACCCGGGCCAUGAAAAGGCAGGCCCCUGGGUCCUACCCACAUCUUCUGAAUCUUUAGAAGGGCAUUGACAAAUGCUCUACUGAUUUUUAAGUAUUCCUGGAUUAAGAUAUUUUUUCUUUAAAUUGUCCAUCUUUUACUCUAUUUUAUCUUGAAAAAAAUCAAACCCAGGACAAAGUUGAAAGAAUGCUGCUAUGAACACCAAUAUAUCCUUCCCUUGGAUUUACCAGUUGUCAAUGUUUUGCCACAAUUCCUCUGGAAGUGUUAGACAUCAUUAUAUUUAAUCUCUGAAUACAUUAGCAUGUAACUCCAAAGAACAAGGACAUUUUCCUACAUAACCACAGUAGGAUUAGCCCACUGAAGACAUUUAACAUCGAUUUGCCUUUAUUUGUGUAAAAAAAUUUUGUAACUAACAAAAAAGAAAUUUAACACUGAUAUAACAGUAUUAUCUAAUACACAGCCCAUAUUCAAAUUCCCUCAAUUGCCCCAAUAACAUUCU